Molecule: transfer RNA, 74 nt
Filed under: Caudoviricetes sp.
Lineage: Duplodnaviria; Heunggongvirae; Uroviricota; Caudoviricetes
Description: tRNA-Val
Rfam family: tRNA
About the family: Transfer RNA (tRNA) molecules are approximately 80 nucleotides in length. Their secondary structure includes four short double-helical elements and three loops (D, anti-codon, and T loops). Further hydrogen bonds mediate the characteristic L-shaped molecular structure. tRNAs have two regions of fundamental functional importance: the anti-codon, which is responsible for specific mRNA codon recognition, and the 3' end, to which the tRNAs corresponding amino acid is attached (by aminoacyl-tRNA synthetases). tRNAs cope with the degeneracy of the genetic code in two manners: having more than one tRNA (with a specific anti-codon) for a particular amino acid; and 'wobble' base-pairing, i.e. permitting non-standard base-pairing at the 3rd anti-codon position.
Source: RNAcentral
ACUCGGUUAGCUCAGCUGGUUAGAGCACAUGCCUUACAAGCAUGGGGUCGCUGGUUCAAGUCCAGUACCGAGUA